This 596-nucleotide long non-coding RNA is filed under the name Triticum aestivum (bread wheat). RNAcentral describes it as "long non-coding RNA (TAES_LNC007612)". The record is from RNAcentral. Lineage: Eukaryota; Viridiplantae; Streptophyta; Magnoliopsida; Poales; Poaceae.
UCCUGACGGUACUCUUGCUGCCACUGCUGUACAUGCUCUCGGUGAAUGUGUUAGUGUUUCUCUUGGCCCCUUAGAUGUAAAUUAGUUAUGUAGUGCAUCUUCUGUAUAGUGAAGACGCGAUCUUAUUAUUGUGGAGGAAAGAGAGCAGGCUUUUGUUUUAAGGACAAUUUAACUGAGUGUUGCAGCCUCUUGUGGUGUGUGCUGUGAUCACCAGACCAGAUACAAGGGUUGAUGCAAUAUUUUGUAGAGUUUCAGCAUGUAGAACAAUUUUUUUAGUGGAUGCCGCUUGAUUUCUACGACUAGAAAUCUUGUAAGUUUGCAUCGUCUCUUUGAUGUUUCACUUAAGAAAUUCUUGGAAAAUUAUGUACUUUUGUCUAAGGGUAAAAUUACAUACUUCUGGCCACUGUUGGCAUUGCCUCUGUGCUGUGGAUAAUUAGGAUGACUGAAAAUCCGGAAGGCUGUGCGGUUCGAAUGAGCCGAAAGAACGCGGCCGACAGGGAGAAAAUGGCCUUCCCACUAUUUGAGCCCAAUCCACUCGUCGAAUGAAUGUAGAGAACGAAGCUGCCCAUUACCUAAAAAAGUAAACUAAAAAAAAA